This is a non-coding RNA of Homo sapiens (human), 344 nucleotides long. The record is from the annotation of a RefSeq genome assembly. NCBI's taxonomy places the organism in Eukaryota, Metazoa, Chordata, Mammalia, Primates, Hominidae.
AUGGGCACGAGGCUCUUCUUCUAUGUGGCCCUUUGUCUGCUGUGGGCAGGACACAGGGAUGCUGAAAUCACCCAGAGCCCAAGACACAAGAUCACAGAGACAGGAAGGCAGGUGACCUUGGCGUGUCACCAGACUUGGAACCACAACAAUAUGUUCUGGUAUCGACAAGACCUGGGACAUGGGCUGAGGCUGAUCCAUUACUCAUAUGGUGUUCACGACACUAACAAAGGAGAAGUCUCAGAUGGCUACAGUGUCUCUAGAUCAAACACAGAGGACCUCCCCCUCACUCUGGAGUCUGCUGCCUCCUCCCAGACAUCUGUAUAUUUCUGCGCCAGCAGUGAGUC